RNAcentral lists this ribosomal RNA (482 nucleotides) under uncultured bacterium. RNAcentral's name for it is "partial 16S ribosomal RNA". It matches the Rfam family "Bacterial small subunit ribosomal RNA", at positions 30 to 507 of the family's 1533-position model. The record is from RNAcentral.
AUUGAACGCUGGCGGCAUGCCUUACACAUGCAAGUCGAACGGUAACAGGUCUUCGGAUGCUGACGAGUGGCGAACGGGUGAGUAAUACAUCGGAACGUGCCCGAUCGUGGGGGAUAACGAAGCGAAAGCUUUGCUAAUACCGCAUACGAUCUACGGAUGAAAGCAGGGGACCGCAAGGCCUUGCGCGAACGGAGCGGCCGAUGGCAGAUUAGGUAGUUGGUGGGAUAAAAGCUUACCAAGCCGACGAUCUGUAGCUGGUCUGAGAGGACGACCAGCCACACUGGGACUGAGACACGGCCCAGACUCCGACGGGCGGCAGCAGUGGGGAAUUUUGGACAAUGAGCGAAAGCCUGAUCCAGCCAUGCCGCGUGCAGGAUGAAGGCCUUCGGGUUGUAAACUGCUUUUGUACGGAACGAAAAGACUCUGGUUAAUGCCUGGGGUCCAUGACGGUACCGUAAGAAUAAGCACCGGCUAACUACGUG